RNAcentral lists this non-coding RNA (23 nucleotides) under Arabidopsis thaliana (thale cress). Lineage: Eukaryota; Viridiplantae; Streptophyta; Magnoliopsida; Brassicales; Brassicaceae. The record is from RNAcentral.
AGCCAAGUGAUGUAAACGGGACA